UGGAGGCGGGCACCGGAAGUUCCGAACCCGGAACCGGAAGCGGACGCAUCCCGGAAGUGGAGGCGCCACGCGUCCAGCACCUCCAUCGCCUCAUCCGUGUUUGUGAAUCACUCCGAGUGACGUCUCCAAGAUCUUGACACUUACAGCCCAGAUUCACAGCGGUGCAGCGCACUUUGGAAUCAACAACAACAACAGCAGCAGCAACAUCAUCAUCAACAACAACAACAGCAGCAUCAGCAGCAGCAUCAGCAGAAGCAGCAUCAUCAGCAGGAUCAUCAGGAGGUGUUGGUGAGAUGGCAAGCAGCACUUUUUGGGAAGACCUGCGGCGUCAGGCGCGGCAGCUGGAAAAUGAACUGGACAUGAAGUUGGUGUCCUUCAGCAAACUGUGCACAGCUUGUACUCACCGUGACCAGUACUCGUGAGUACUCACUGUGUCACUG
Petromyzon marinus (sea lamprey) is the source of this 440-nucleotide non-coding RNA. The record is from RefSeq and is a predicted model, not a curated record. Lineage: Eukaryota; Metazoa; Chordata; Hyperoartia; Petromyzontiformes; Petromyzontidae.